RNAcentral lists this ribosomal RNA (496 nucleotides) under uncultured bacterium. RNAcentral describes it as "partial 16S ribosomal RNA". It matches the Rfam family "Bacterial small subunit ribosomal RNA", at positions 28 to 507 of the family's 1533-position model. The record is from RNAcentral.
GAUGAACGCUGGCGGCGUGCCUAAUACAUGCAAGUCGAGCGAACGGACGAGAAGCUUGCCUCUCUGAUGUUAGCGGCGACGGGUGAGUAACACGUGGAUAACCUACCUAUAAGACUGGGAUAACUUCGGGAAACCGGAGCUAAUACCGGAUAAUAUUUUGAACCGCAUGGUUCAAAAGUGAAAGACGGUCUUGCUGUCACUUAUAGAUGGAUCCGCGCUGCAUUAGCUAGUUGGUAAGGUAACGGCUUACCAAGGCAACGAUGCAUAGCCGACCUGAGAGGGUGAUCGGCCACACUGGAACUGAGACACGGUCCAGACUCCUACGGGAGGCAGCAGUAGGGAAUCUUCCGCAAUGGGCGAAAGCCUGACGGAGCAACGCCGCGUGAGUGAUGAAGGUCUUCGGAUCGUAAAACUCUGUUAUUAGGGAAGAACAUAUGUGUAAGUAACUGUGCACAUCUUGACGGUACCUAAUCAGAAAGCCACGGCUAACUACGUG